AAAAAGGGUGCUUACCUAUCCCUAAUGGUACACUCAUUGAAAUUCCCCUAAAGGGAUGGUGGGUGGGGUAUGGCCAUCAAGACAUACCCAGCACGUAAUUUUUGGACCUGGGACAGUUGAUGAUGCAUCGGCGUCCCC
Daphnia magna is the source of this 138-nucleotide small nuclear RNA. It matches the Rfam family "U11 spliceosomal RNA". The record is from Rfam. Lineage: Eukaryota; Metazoa; Arthropoda; Branchiopoda; Diplostraca; Daphniidae.